CGGAUGCACUAUUGGGUGGAUGUAAGAAUGGAUGAAACUAUACCUCGGGGGGGCCAUUGGGUGCGAAGCUAAAGAAUGAAUGUUUUGAAAAGCAAUGGGUGGCAUGGAUUAAUGUGCGGAUUGAGAGGUUCAAUAUGAAGUGAAGGUGGAGAUGGUUAGUGGCGUGUGAAGAGGAUGUUGAAUGCGUGAAUCUUGUCUACAUAUGGAUUUUUAUGUGUUUGAUGGCUAGAUGGCUGGGUAUUCAUGGGUGAACAUGAGAAUCAGUGCACAGGUGAUCUAAUUACAUGAGUGAGCAUCAUGGAUGGUUUCAGGUUGUCUGACAGGUGGUUUGAUGAGUAGAUUGAUUUAUGGAUGGUAUAAGAAUUUCAUCAUUGAGAAUAGACACAGUAAAGUCACAUAUAAAGUUGAAUGUGAAGUGGAUGGGCUAAUGAGGCAUACCAGCUAGUUUUUUAUUUAUAAAAUACAUUAAGACAUGAGGUUCUCAAAAUACUGUGAUAAUAACAAAAAAGAAAUCAAAACGCUCCUUAGCAAGAUCACAAGAAUAGUUUUUCUCUUAAAUGGUUUUUUUUUUAAAUUUAAUAAUGUGAGCACUUCUAGGAGGAGGAUCCAAGACUGAACUUGACCUUGCGUUUUAUGUUGGUGUCUGCAUAUAUCACAUUUUCCCAUAUCUUCCACAGUUAUAACUGAGGUGUUCCCAGUGUAAGAAGUGAGACAUCUUAGAUGCUGACAUUUCUAGAUCAAUCCAAAUUGUAGUUCUUAUUGAUCAGUUCUGUGGAUUUGAUCUUCGAAAAUGCUGCAUCUUCCAUAAGCAAGGACCAAAGAGAUUUUGACUGCAGGUGGUGGACAUGUGGACAACAGGACCCUAGGCACCUUCUGAAGUGAUCCCAUCCCCAGCAUCGCCCAGAUGCUGUCUCGUUUCCCCCUCUGAGAAGCUUGCUGCGUCUCUGUUUCUCAAAAGGGCACGGCUUUCCUAGAACUGACCUGCUUGCUGGCAAGUAAUUGCCUGGACUGUGACGUGCUUCUCUGUGCUCUGAAUAUAUGUCAUGUGAUUUCUUCUAUUGUCUUCUUGACCCUGUUGCAUUUUGGGGGGUGGGGGGUGGAAAAAUCCGUGUUUUACUUCACAAAUGGGAGUGAGCGAUGGGGGUGGGAAAUGUGAUUGUGUAACCCAUAGACACCACCUUGGUGACCCCCCACCCCCACCCCAC
Long non-coding RNA from Myotis myotis, 1205 nucleotides. RefSeq lists it as uncharacterized. Lineage: Eukaryota; Metazoa; Chordata; Mammalia; Chiroptera; Vespertilionidae. The record is from RefSeq and is a predicted model, not a curated record. The transcript has 3 exons.